GUUGGGUUUUUGGGUUUUUGGGUUUCUGGUCGGUUGGCUGGCUGGUUCAUUUUCGACCAAUGAAGCGUAAUUAAAAUUAAUAUUUAAUAUCGGAACGAGCUGCGGCGUUGCCCCUUGACUAUUUCAUUUAGCUUACUGGGUCAAUUCGACAAUGCCCCGUCUCCGACAAUUGAGUCCCCGACAGCUGAGCUCUUUAGCAUAUAAAUCGAGGAACUCCUUAGUCAAUCAGCAGCCUCUGCCUCCGGCUGAUUGUAAUAAAGACAUGGCAAUCGAGUAACGCCCGCGCCAUGUCAGCGAUGUCAACGUUUUUGACGUCUCUAAAAACCAAUCAGCUCUCAAACUAAAUCAAAAAUCAUAAAAUAUUCCGCGGCCUAGAGGAGGGGGAUGAAGGAGAGACACCCCAGAUGGUUGGAUGGAUGGAUGCACACAUGAGGCGUAGGAUGGCAACUGCAGCUGACAACAUGAGGAGGAGUUACUCCCAAGGAGGAGGCACUGUAUCGAUGGGAGUUGUGGCUUGCUGGAUGGGUGGAUGGCUGGCUCAGUGCCUUUUAUAAAUAAAAUUUGCAUAAAUUUAAUAAACCCUCGUAGCGUAGAGGCUACGUUUUGGCCACAAAAGGCUGCCAAGGCAGCACUUGUUAGGGGCCAAGGAGAUUUUGUGAUUUACCGAUAUAAGCCAGACCGUUGAAGCGGUUGUGUCUCCGCAAACAAAACCCAAAAA
Molecule: long non-coding RNA, 718 nt
Organism: Drosophila ananassae
Lineage: Eukaryota; Metazoa; Arthropoda; Insecta; Diptera; Drosophilidae
Exons: 2
Source: RefSeq, a predicted model, not a curated record